ACUCUGAUGGUCUUCUGCACCCAAAGGGGUCCCUGAUCAAGAUUUCUGCAAAUUACAGGGUUUGGGAAAGAGUUCGGCUGAAUCCUCUGAUGGUCUUUUGCACGCCAGGGUGUCCCUGAUCAUGAUUUGAGCAAAUUACAGGGUUUGGGAAAGAGUUUUGUUAACUUUCAAAAUAUCCAUAAAUUCUUGAGGCGACUCCAAAUUGAUCUACUUCUAAAAUGAUGCAGCCUGGACAUUUGCUCAGAAAUUGCCCUUAAUAAGGAUAUGGAGCUGAACAAGGAAACAAGGAGUUAAGGAAAGCAGUUGCAGAUACAUUUUACGGAGAUGUAACAGUAAAAGAUACUGAAGUUUUUAUAUCCAAUAUCAAGACUUUCCGGUACUAAAAUCAAUAAAUUAUCAAGAAUUUGCUUAGGUGCUUGAUGUCACGCAGUUUGGCUACUUUAAGGUGCUGGGGAAGGGCUCAGGGACGAAACCGAUUGUGGUAAAGGCCAAGCUGGUGUCGAAAAUUGCGGAGAAGAAGAUUGAGAUGGGCGGCGCUGUUGUGCUUACUGCUUAGGAUUGAUUGUUUUUGUUUUAAUUGAAUUGGAUUAUACUGAUUGUAAUGGUUAUUAUUGAUUCUCACUACAAGAAAGAGGAAUCCAGGGAUUACUUUACCAGCAGCUGAAGUUGGGUUGGAAGUGUUGUCAAUCAAUCGAGUGGAAGUGCAGUGUUGAUAAAGAGAUUCUUUUCCCCUAUUGAUCAUGUCCAUUCCUGCGUGGAAUUGUGCUCAAAACUUAAAAAAAACUGUUGUUCUGCUUGGUUUAUCUAUCCAGUUGUCACUUGUGACACACAAUAAAAUUUAAGCAUUUGCUAGAUAUAAUUAGUGCAGGUGGUGGUUUUACUGAUUAUGUUUACUAUUGCAUGCUUGCUAAAACGUGACAAGUAUUUCCGUGUUUUUUUGGUCUGUCAAGAGUAGCUUCUGAACAAGUGUUGGGAACUCCUUUCGGAUAUAGCCAUUUAAAUAGUGUAUAUGUGCUGUAGC
Daucus carota subsp. sativus is the source of this 1021-nucleotide long non-coding RNA. RefSeq lists it as uncharacterized. The record is from RefSeq and is a predicted model, not a curated record. The transcript has 6 exons. NCBI's taxonomy places the organism in Eukaryota, Viridiplantae, Streptophyta, Magnoliopsida, Apiales, Apiaceae.